This 293-nucleotide long non-coding RNA is filed under the name Capsella rubella. RNAcentral describes it as "long non-coding RNA (CRUB_LNC002928)". Lineage: Eukaryota; Viridiplantae; Streptophyta; Magnoliopsida; Brassicales; Brassicaceae. The record is from RNAcentral.
UAGCUGAUGAAUAACUAAUUUCUUACAUACACUUCUUAAUAGGUUUUAUAUUAUGGCAUUUGUUGUUUGUUUUUUUUUUUUUUGGACAAAGGCAUUUGCUGUUAUGUAGUUAAACGUGCAACCAGACUAUUAACUAACGAAUUAUUCCGUUAUUUAGUAAAAAGAUAUAGAGAAUAAUGGAAUCAGAAACUAUACUGUAAAAUUUGUGUCAGAGGUCUUAGAACCAUCAAAAUGGUGACCAUAUAGUAUAAAAGCUCUCUGCUUAAAAUAAAAUAAAAGUUCAAAGAUUCUUC